Molecule: ribosomal RNA, 231 nt
Filed under: uncultured bacterium
Lineage: Bacteria
Description: partial 16S ribosomal RNA
Rfam family: Bacterial small subunit ribosomal RNA
Source: RNAcentral
UCCCUACGGGAGGCAGCAGUGAGGAAUAUUGGUCAAUGGACGAGAGUCUGAACCAGCCAAGUAGCGUGAAGGAUGACUGCCCUAUGGGUUGUAAACUUCUUUUAUAUGGGAAUAAAGUGCAGUAUGUAUACUGCUUUGCAUGUACCUUAUGAAUAAGGAUCGGCUAACUCCGUGCCAGCAGCCGCGGUAAUACGGAGGAUCCGAGCGUUAUCCGGAUUUAUUGGGUUUAAA